This 65-nucleotide transfer RNA is filed under the name Dipodomys ordii (Ord's kangaroo rat). It matches the Rfam family "tRNA". From Rfam's summary of the family: Transfer RNA (tRNA) molecules are approximately 80 nucleotides in length. The record is from Rfam by way of RNAcentral. Lineage: Eukaryota; Metazoa; Chordata; Mammalia; Rodentia; Heteromyidae.
GGUGGCUCAGUGGUAGAGCGCUUGCCUUGCAUGCUUGAGGCCCUGGGUUCGAUUCCUUGGCACCA